This 533-nucleotide long non-coding RNA is filed under the name Mus spicilegus (steppe mouse). RNAcentral describes it as "lncRNA (ENSMSIG00000013511.1)". Lineage: Eukaryota; Metazoa; Chordata; Mammalia; Rodentia; Muridae. The record is from RNAcentral.
AUGUGUUGUUUUCAUGGCAGCUUAGACAUCUUUGAAAACUCAAAAGUUUCAGGGUCUCCCCUAGGGUCCUACUGUGACGUCAGCAUGGGCUUCCUGGAUUCCCGAGUCUUGCUGGGCAGGGUGCUUCUCUGGGAGCUCCGUCCAGGCGAGAAGGCUAGUGCCUACAGUCCGAACAAUGAAUGCAAAUUUCAAGUGAACACAGGCGCACGUGUGCAAUCCACUCAAGUUGCAGGUCUACUGAAGAAAACAAUCAUUGAGCACUGAUGGAGAAUUUUCCAGAAGAUACACAGAGAAGGCUGAGCUGAAGAAGAGGUGAAGAUCUUAUGGGCUAUAGUAAUUUCUUGGGCAGUUUCACCACUCUACAGGCUGAUCAAACAUGUGGAACUUGAACUUUAGGAUCGUAACUUGGAUGAAGAGGGGACCCGUGAUUAGCCUAGGUAUAGGUAUGUGGACCUAGUUCACAAAUGAGAAAAAGAGUGGGUUUUUUUUCUGCAGUAAAAAGAUGAAGGUUUUUGACCCAUGCUUUCUGUUUC